AGAGGCCACCCCCCACCUGGCUACAAUGCCCCGUCAGGUGCAAUGUAGUGCAUUUCAACAAGCAAUAGCUGGAAAUAGCUGGGAACUCUGACCCACUCACUUCUGCUGCUUGCUCCAUGGCAGGAGGAAGGAUAUGGAAAGAAAUUACAGCCUGUUGCCACAUGGCUCGCUGAGAAGGUGGACAAACUCGAGGCUAGCUGGGGUACACAGAGAGCUUUCCUUACAAUUUGAAGGAAAGAACAACAAAGUCUGUGUCGUGUCAAGAUGAGCAGCUUAGGGGAGGUGAUUCUCCUCUUCUAGUCUGCUUUCAUGAGAUCUCACCUGCAGUAUUGCAUUCAGCUCCGUGGCCCCACACAUAAGAGACGUGGGGCUGUUGGAGGCGAGGAAGCCACAAAAGUGCUCAGAGGGCUGGAACACCUCUGCUGUAAGAACAAAUGAGAGAGUUGGGGUUGUUCAGCCUGCAGAAGACAUAGCUCCAGAGAGACCUUGUUGCAGCCUUUCAGUACUUGAAGGAAGCCUACAAGAAAGAUGACCAAGAGCAGUUGUUGAAGAUGAGUUUUUUCCAGUUCUCUCUGGCCUUCAGCUGCUGUUCCUGCCUGUUCUCUGCCUCUGACGACAUCCUACACCAGAGCUGCUUCGAUCUCUCUCCCAGCUGCAGGUGAGGCCACACAGAGCUUGUUUCCAGGGGGAAACCUGCUGAAUUUAUACCUGGAAGAGAC
This is a long non-coding RNA of Pogoniulus pusillus (Red-fronted tinkerbird), 719 nucleotides long. RefSeq lists it as uncharacterized. The transcript has 3 exons. The record is from RefSeq and is a predicted model, not a curated record. Lineage: Eukaryota; Metazoa; Chordata; Aves; Piciformes; Lybiidae.